ACGCUGGCGGCAUGCUUUACACAUGCAAGUCGGACGGCAGCACAGAGAAGCUUGCUUCUUGGGUGGCGAGUGGCGAACGGGUGAGUAAUAUACCGGAACGUACCGAGUAAUGGGGGAUAACUAAUCGAAAGAUUAGCUAAUACCGCAUAUUCUCUGAGGAGGAAAGCAGGGGACCUUCGGGCCUUGCGUUAUUCGAGCGGCCGAUAUCUGAUUAGCUAGUUGGUGGGGUAAAGGCCUACCAAGGCGACGAUCAGUAGCGGGUCUGAGAGGAUGAUCCGCCACACUGGGACUGAGACACGGCCCAGACUCCUACGGGAGGCAGCAGUGGGGAAUUUUGGACAAUGGGCGCAAGCCUGAUCCAGCCAUGCCGCGUGUCUGAAGAAGGCCUUCGGGUUGUAAAGGACUUUUGUCAGGGAAGAAAAGGCUGUUGCUAAUACCGACAGCUGAUGACGGUACCUGAAGAAUAAGCACCGGCUAACUACGUGCCAGCAGCCGCGGUAAUACGUAGGGUGCGAGCGUUAAUCGGAAUUACUGGGCGUAAAGCGAGCGCAGACGGUUACUUAAGCAGGAUGUGAAAUCCCCGGGCUCAACCUGGGAACUGCGUUCUGAACUGGGUGACUAGAGUGUGUCAGAGGGAGGUAGAAUUCCACGUGUAGCAGUGAAAUGCGUAGAGAUGUGGAGGAAUACCGAUGGCGAAGGCAGCCUCCUGGGAUAACACUGACGUUCAUGCUCGAAAGCGUGGGUAGCAAACAGGAUUAGAUACCCUGGUAGUCCACGCCCUAAACGAUGUCAAUUAGCUGUUGGGCAACUUGAUUGCUUAGUAGCGUAGCUAACGCGUGAAAUUGACCGCCUGGGGAGUACGGUCGCAAGAUUAAAACUCAAAGGAAUUGACGGGGACCCGCACAAGCGGUGGAUGAUGUGGAUUAA
Molecule: ribosomal RNA, 927 nt
Filed under: uncultured bacterium
Lineage: Bacteria
Description: bacterial SSU rRNA
Rfam family: Bacterial small subunit ribosomal RNA
Source: RNAcentral